GCCUGGAAUGUCACAUAUGGUCAGUUGGAGAGAUGGCCUGGAAGGCAGUUCGAGAGGUGGCCUGGAAGACAGUUGGAGAAGUGGCUUUGGAGGCAGCUGGGGAGAUGAACUGGAAGGCAGUUGGAGAGGUGGCCUGGGAGGCAGCUGGAGAGGUGGCCAGGGAGGCAGUUGGAGAGGUGGCCAGGAAGGCAGUUGGAGAGAUGGCCUGGAAGGCAGUUGGAGAGAUGGCCUGGAAGGCAGCUGGAGAGGUGGCCUGGAAGGCAGCUGAAGAAGUGGCUUUGGAGGCAGCAGUUGUGAGAUGGCCUGGAAGGCAGUUGUAGGUGGCCUGGAAGGCAGUUGGAGAGAAGGCCUGGAAGUCAGCUGGAGAGGUGGCCUGGGAGGCAGCUGGAGAGCUGGCCUAGGAGGCAGCUGGAGAUGUGGCCUGGAAGGCAGCUGAAGAAGUGGCUUUGGAGGCAGCAGUUGUGAGAUGGCCUGGAAGGCAGUUGUAGGUGGCCUGGAAGGCAGUUGGAGAGAUGGCCUGGAAGUCAGCUGGAGAGGUGGCCUGGGAGGCAGCUGGAGAGGUGGCCUAGGAGGCAGCUGGAGAGGUGGCCUGGGAGGCAGUUGGAGAGGUGGCCUGGAAGGCAGUUGGAGAGGUGGCCUGGAAAGCAGUUGGAGAGGUGGCCUGGGAGGCAGUUGGAGAGGUGGCCUGGAAGGCAGCUGGAGUGGUGGUCUUGAUAGCUGUGGGCACAAUGGCCUGAGCGGUGUCUGUAGAGGUGACCUGGGAGGCAGCUGACAAGACCAGUGUGUCAGCUGGAGCAGGGGUCAUGGUCUUUCCGGGCUUCAUCCUCAAACAGUCAUCACUGGCUGAGUUCACCAUUUUCUUCAAUGGCCCGUACACGCUCCUGUCCAGUAGCUUCCUUCUCUCUUUGUAGCAUCUGUACAGAGUGACAUGACAUAUGCCGUACAACUUUGAUCUGAUUGACUUCCCCUGCUCUGCUACAUGAUCUGCUACAUCCUUUUUCAAACUGUGGAGAGGUACUCCACUGUCUGUCUUUCUUUUUCAUGACCUUGUCAUGGUGAAAGUAUAAGAAAACAUGUACCAAAAACAUUAUGUUUUACUCAGGGUUCGGUGUAAGAUUUCCUCACAAGUUGUUACAACUAGGGCCUCCCAAGUGGCACCACUACAGAUCCGGGUUCGAACCCGGGCUGUGUCGCA
This 1195-nucleotide long non-coding RNA is filed under the name Salmo salar (Atlantic salmon). Its description in RNAcentral is "lncRNA (ENSSSAG00000091149.1)". The record is from RNAcentral. Lineage: Eukaryota; Metazoa; Chordata; Actinopteri; Salmoniformes; Salmonidae.